GGUGGGAGCUACCUGCAGUCGAGCGGCAGCGACACAUUGAACCUUCGGGGGAUUUGUUGGGCGGCGAGCGGCGGACGGGUGAGUAAUGCCUAGGAAAUUGCCCUGAUGUGGGGGAUAACCAUUGGAAACGAUGGCUAAUACCGCAUGAUGCCUACGGGCCAAAGAGGGGGACCUUCGGGCCUCUCGCGUCAGGAUAUGCCUAGGUGGGAUUAGCUAGUUGGUGAGGUAAGGGCUCACCAAGGCGACGAUCCCUAGCUGGUCUGAGAGGAUGAUCAGCCACACUGGAACUGAGACACGGUCCAGACUCCUACGGGAGGCAGCAGUGGGGAAUAUUGCACAAUGGGCGCAAGCCUGAUGCAGCCAUGCCGCGUGUAUGAAGAAGGCCUUCGGGUUGUAAAGUACUUUCAGUAGGGAGGAAGGUUCAUGCGUUAAUAGCGUAUGGAUUUGACGUUACCUACAGAAGAAGCACCGGCUAACUCCGUGCCAGCAGCCGCGGUAAUACGGAGGGUGCGAGCGUUAAUCGGAAUUACUGGGCGUAAAGCGCAUGCAGGUGGUUAGUUAAGUCAGAUGUGAAAGCCCGGGGCUCAACCUCGGAAUUGCAUUUGAAACUGGCUGACUAGAGUACUGUAGAGGGGGGUAGAAUUUCAGGUGUAGCGGUGAAAUGCGUAGAGAUCUGAAGGAAUACCGGUGGCGAAGGCGGCCCCCUGGACAGAUACUGACACUCAGAUGCGAAAGCGUGGGGAGCAAACAGGAUUAGAUACCCUGGUAGUCCACGCCGUAAACGAUGUCUACUUGGAGGUUGUGGCCUUGAGCCGUGGCUUUCGGAGCUAACGCGUUAAGUAGACCGCCUGGGGAGUACGGUCGCAAGAUUAAAACUCAAAUGAAUUGACGGGGGCCCGCACAAGCGGUGGAGCAUGUGGUUUAAUUGAGGCAACACGAAGAGCACUACACAUUCUUGACAUCCACAGAAAAUAGCACAGAUGCUUUGGGGCGCUCUGGAAAUAUGAGACACAUGUGGCACAGGGGUGUUCACAUCUUGUGGUGAAAAAUUGGGGGAAGUCUCGCAAAGAGAGCAACCCCUAUCUCUGUUUGCCACAGAGUAAAAUCUGGAAAUCCACAGAGAGAGCCCCUGAUAAACCCGAGGAAAAUGGGGAGGAGAUCAAGUGUUCUCGGCCCCUAUGAGUAUGGGUACACACAUGUUACACAGGGGUAUACAGAGGGGUGCCACCCCCAGAUGGUGAGAGAAUCUCAAAAAAUAUGUGUUAGUCUGGAUAUGAGUGUGCAAAUCUAGUCCACGAGGUGUGAAUAUCUAGUGAUAUUGGAUCUCAAAACCACAGGGAAUAUAUUCUCGGGCGCUGUACACACCCCCCGUCACACCACGUGAGAGUGGUGCACAAGAAAAGUGUAAGUAACCUUCGGGAGGACGUCACCCUUGUAUGG
This 1440-nucleotide ribosomal RNA is filed under the name Vibrio ponticus. RNAcentral describes it as "bacterial SSU rRNA". It matches the Rfam family "Bacterial small subunit ribosomal RNA". Lineage: Bacteria; Pseudomonadati; Pseudomonadota; Gammaproteobacteria; Vibrionales; Vibrionaceae. The record is from RNAcentral.